RNAcentral lists this small nuclear RNA (314 nucleotides) under Erinaceus europaeus (western European hedgehog). Its description in RNAcentral is "7SK RNA". It matches the Rfam family "7SK RNA". Rfam says of the family: 7SK was discovered as an abundant small nuclear RNA in the mid-70s but a possible function has only recently been suggested. Two independent studies have found that 7SK RNA binds the CDK9/cyclin T complex (known as elongation factor P-TEFb). Lineage: Eukaryota; Metazoa; Chordata; Mammalia; Eulipotyphla; Erinaceidae. The record is from Rfam by way of RNAcentral.
AUAUGUGAGGGCAAUCUGGCAGCAACAUCUGUCACCCCAUUGAUGGCCAGGGUUGAGUCUGCUGGUCUGGCUGGCUAGGCAGAUGUCUCUGCUUCCUACCUCACCUUUUCAGCUGCAGCUCUCCUGAAGAGCACAUCCUUCCCCAAAUGGAACCUCCAAAGAAGCAAUUCUCCAGCUGUCCUUGGUUAACCAGUGACUAUGUGUCAUAUGCUGAACUAAUGACAUGAAAAUGGAGACACUGGUUCAAAGCAUGAGGCUAAGAAAACCUCAGUAAAGGUCCAUAGAAAAGCUCACCUGGACAGAGAGCUUGCUUU